UACGUAGGCAGCAAGCGUUGUUCGGAGUUACUGGGCGUAAAGGGUGUGUAGGCGGUUCUUUAAGUUUGGUGUGAAAUCUCCCGGCUCAACUGGGGGGGUGCGCCGAAUGCUGAGGGACUAGAGUACGGGAGAGGAAAGUGGAAUUCCUGGUGUAGCGGUGAAAUGCGUAGAUAUCAGGAGGAACACCGGUGGUGUAGACGGCUUUCUGGACCGUAACUGACGCUGAGACACGAAAGCGUGGGUAGCAAACAGG
This 253-nucleotide ribosomal RNA is filed under the name uncultured bacterium. RNAcentral describes it as "partial 16S ribosomal RNA". It matches the Rfam family "Bacterial small subunit ribosomal RNA", at positions 524 to 776 of the family's 1533-position model. The record is from RNAcentral.